RNAcentral lists this ribosomal RNA (484 nucleotides) under uncultured bacterium. Its description in RNAcentral is "partial 16S ribosomal RNA". It matches the Rfam family "Bacterial small subunit ribosomal RNA", at positions 29 to 507 of the family's 1533-position model. The record is from RNAcentral.
AUUGAACGCUGGCGGCAUGCUUUACACAUGCAAGUCGAACGGCAGCGCGGGCUUCGGCCUGGCGGCGAGUGGCGAACGGGUGAGUAAUGCAUCGGAACGUGCCCAGUAGUGGGGGAUAGCCCGGCGAAAGCCGGAUUAAUACCGCAUACGACCUGAGGGUGAAAGCGGGGGACCGAAAGGCCUCGCGCUAUUGGAGCGGCCGAUGUCGGAUUAGCUAGUUGGUGGGGUAAAGGCUUACCAAGGCGACGAUCCGUAGCUGGUCUGAGAGGACGACCAGCCACACUGGGACUGAGACACGGCCCAGACUCCUACGGGAGGCAGCAGUGGGGAAUUUUGGACAAUGGGGGCAACCCUGAUCCAGCCAUGCCGCGUGCGGGAAGAAGGCCUUCGGGUUGUAAAACGCUUUUGUUCGGGAAGAAAGCCUCUGGGCUAAUACCCCGGGGGGAUGAGGGUACCGGAAGAAUAAGCAACGGAUAACUACGUG